RNA transcript from Lolium rigidum, 520 nucleotides. RefSeq lists it as uncharacterized. The transcript has 4 exons. The record is from RefSeq and is a predicted model, not a curated record. Lineage: Eukaryota; Viridiplantae; Streptophyta; Magnoliopsida; Poales; Poaceae.
CCCGCACCGAAGGCGAGAGGGAUGCGGCGCCCGGCGAACGGAUGACCAGAUCGCCGGCUUGACAAAAGGUUAGGAAGCUCUCCUACGGGACACUCAUCAAGGCUGUCGAUCUUGGUGCAGCUAAUCGGCCGGCCGGUUUUUCUUCUCAAUGAGAUGGGGAAUGCUUUGAUCGCCGUUCCACUCCUCAAAAUCCAACGACAAGACGACCCGUCCUCCGCCGGUCGUCGACCCCUGCAGCCUACAGCCCGCGAUUCAGCCUCCUACCAGCCUUCAAGCAUCCGUCAAGGGCAACAAACCAAUCAGCGGCUCUGGCCUACAUCAUCAGUUAGGACGAGAGGGGAAGAGGCACACGAUCUAUACAGGUGGACAGAAAUUCUACAUAUACGUCACAAGUUAAGCCGAUGAUGGAGGAAUCUUCAAGAAAAGCCAUCAGGGGAUAAGAAAGGAAGAAGGUUUGCGUGUGCUGCAUCUUCUCAAGUAAAGGAGUGCUGGAUUUGAUGCCAGGGCUAGAUAAACUAGC